RNAcentral lists this transfer RNA (75 nucleotides) under Deltaproteobacteria bacterium. RNAcentral's name for it is "tRNA-Lys". It matches the Rfam family "tRNA". Rfam says of the family: Transfer RNA (tRNA) molecules are approximately 80 nucleotides in length. Their secondary structure includes four short double-helical elements and three loops (D, anti-codon, and T loops). Lineage: Bacteria; Pseudomonadati; Myxococcota; Myxococcia. The record is from RNAcentral.
GCGCCAUUAGCUCAAUGGUAGAGCAAAUGACUCUUAAUCAUUAGGUUGGAGGUUCGAGCCCUCCAUGGCGCACCA